Molecule: non-coding RNA, 777 nt
Organism: Callorhinus ursinus (northern fur seal)
Lineage: Eukaryota; Metazoa; Chordata; Mammalia; Carnivora; Otariidae
Source: RefSeq, a predicted model, not a curated record
GAUCCCAGGACCCUGGGAUCAUAACCUGAGCCGAAGGCAGACGCUUAACCACCGAGCCACCCAGGCGUCCCUCUGCAAGGACAGCUUUAAAAGUUCUGAGAAGCAGGCACAGGGACAUUGGACAAACAUCCACACACAAUGCAGAGUGGACACAAAUUGCACACGGACACGUAGUGCAGCGUCCCUGGGGACUCCCGUGAGCCGGGCACGGCCCCUCCUCCGUCUCAGGUGUGCACCGAGGGGCAUGGAGGCCCCCAGGACAGAACUGGACGGUAUGAAAUUCAGAACCUCAUGCGUGUGUCCUUAGCAGAUGAUGCUCAAGGUCAGAGAGACUGAUUUCCUGUAAAUGCCUGGUUUUACAGAAAAGGGAAACCCAUCCCUUGACCAAGGGGCAUCCACCGAGAGCUCCUCCCCAGACUCAAGCUGGAAAGUUGCUGCUUGGUCUCUAGCUGAACUCCCUACCCCUUGUCUUCCUCCCCAGAUGCCCAGCCUGCCCCAAACCCUCAACAGACUCCAGUAGAUCGCGUGCUACAGUUUUCACGUCCUGAAGUACAGUUCCUCCCCUAUUCCCAAAUAUACUCCGUUUUUGGUAAUUCGGGCUUGCCUCGGUUUACCUCUUUCAUUUAGGUUGACACCAUAAAAGUCUGUGGGAUUUGUAGCGAUGUCCCGUAUUUCAUUACUGAUGCUGGUGUCUUUUCUCUAUUUCUUCUCGAGUGUUGCUAGGACUUUAUACAUUCUGGGAAUACUCGAUAAUAAAUGUUUGUGGCUUUAUUAAUG